Musa acuminata subsp. malaccensis (wild Malaysian banana) is the source of this 1890-nucleotide non-coding RNA. The record is from RefSeq and is a predicted model, not a curated record. NCBI's taxonomy places the organism in Eukaryota, Viridiplantae, Streptophyta, Magnoliopsida, Zingiberales, Musaceae.
UAGAAUUGUCGCGGUUGAGAAACGAACCCUCGAUGGCUGGAGCGGCCGACGCUGACUGCUACAUCAGGGCGAUUGUACACCUCCAAAUCAGGAGGACGAACACGAGCACGUAGAUGUUUCCGCCCGAUGCAACGAGUCCUUCUGCUUCCCAAUCGGGGGCGGGCAAAAAUAGCAUUGCGGUGGCCGUUUCAUGAUCCGCGAUCUGCAAGCUUGUCUCUCUUUGUCCGUCGUUAAUUCUUCGAUGCCUUCGUCAGCGACAGGGAGAAAUCGUAGGUGAUGAUUCUUUUAUUUGGUCCUGGGAGCUCGAACUCCCCCUGCAGAGAAAAUGGUGCCGGGGAACACAAGCAGAACCCUCAGCUCAUACAGGUAGCAGUUCUCUACGAACUGAUACGAGCUAGCCUCGUAGGUGAUCUUCUACCAUAAAUUUGAAGGAGUCAAAUUUUCUACCAUAAAUUUGUACAAUCUACAUACAGAAGAAGUAUAUAUUUCUAGCAGUAUUUUCGUCAGGGAGAUAAUGCUUAUUCAAUGCAUAAGAAGGAGAAAAGAUAAACUAGGAUAACAUGAUGGAAGUUCUGUGGUGAAUAUGGAGAAAAAUGGGGAAAAAAAAAAACUAGUCAUUAUCAUCUUUGCAGGAUUUGUACUUGACAGAAGCAUGACAUGCCUCAUUUCCAUCCCGGUGCUUCCUACCAUAUGCCACUUCAACAUCUUCCUUGGUGCAUUGGAGAAAAAUGAUCACCUGCUAAUCUUCAGUCUCCCUUUCUGCAUUGUCAGGAAAGAUGACACCAGAUGAAGCAGAUACAGUUGUGAUUGGUGUCAGUUGCCCAGAAAAUCUACCCACCAUUGGCAGAUCACAAUCCUUAUCGACACAUUUGCCUUCCGUCUACCUCAGUGAUCUCAAGCAUUACUUCACAUCCUUGUCUGCCUUCAUAACAAAGUGAAUGUGAGCAUUCACUUCUUUUACAACUGCAGAAUCAUCUCAUCUUGGAUGUGCUUUUUGACUAUGGCCAAGCUGUCAUUCAAUUUACCACAUAAAUGCAGCAUCUAUUCAUCUUCCAGACAUUUCUUUUGAAGGGUAAAGUGAAGGCUUGGUUGCAUGGCGACAGAAGAAGCUCCUCAUUGAUUCAUCUGCAGCUGCAAUCUCUCUCAUCUUGUUGAACACAUGGUAUGCAAUUUCAAAUGGUACCGCCCGGUAUGGGCGGUACGUACCGGUCCGAUGACAUACCGGUACGCGGACCGCCCGCUACCGGACGGACCAUGCUACUAAUCUACCAGCCAUUACCACUGCAUGUAAAAGUGAAGGCUUGGUUGCAUGGCGACUGAACAAGCCCCUCAUUGAUUCUUGUGCAGCUGCAAUCUCUCUCAACCACUUGAAUAUAUUGAAACGCAUAUCAGCAUAACAACUGAAGAAGAGGAAAGGAAAUGUGUGUGGGGUUUCAUUCUUUUGCUCCCCUGCUUAUAAGCCAACAAGAUCGGCAUCUUUAGGUUGGUCAGAUGGGAAACGACAAGAAUAGCAGUAUUUAUUUUCUUUACUCUCCCACUCUUUCGUGAGUUGCUAGGUGCUGCUAUCCUAUGUGAUGUCAAGGUGGUUCUUGGCUUGCAAUGUAAUUCUUUUACUGACAUCUUCCAAACAGGUGCAGUAUGGCUGCUUGUCUGCCCAACAAUCUACCACUCUCUAUGGUGGUUUGCUGGAUCUGCACAUAUAUGUUUUAGGUGAAGUAGGAGUGUGCACAUGUUGAUAAUGGCCCUUGAGUACAUAUGGUCAGCAACGCACAUCUUGGAGUGAUCUCAAUGGCAAGAUGUUCUGCAGAACAGAAAGAUUCCAAAGUAUUAUAUAGUUGGGGUUCCUUCAAGAAACACAAAGAAGUUGUGUAUAUGGUAAAGCUGUGGCCA